GUCGUUGUUGCUCUGGGAGAGGGGACUCCUGGAAUGUGUCUCUGAAUAAAGACUAGCCGAAGGUGCGAAGUGACUAGAUGGGAGCAAAGGAGGAAAACUAGGGAAUGGGAGAUACUGUGGCCUCAUGAAUAGGAAUGUCUGCCCAUAUGUCAGGAUUGGAAAUAAUGGAUGAAGAUCAAUUAAUCAAAGAAGUCUUGGAUAAAUUCCUUAAUUGUCAUGAGCAAACAUGUGAUGAAGAAUUUCUGAACACUUUUACUCAUCUUUCACAAGAUUUGCUGCUGCUUCCAGGAGAGGUGGAGCAGGAUGUAAGCACCAGCAUUCCUUCCUGUAUCCCUUUUGUGGCCCAGCCUCCUACCUGUGAAGUGAAGCCAAAGCCCACUGUAAAAAGAAUGGACAAACAGACGGAAGAGGUACUCCACAGGGAAUUCAUUCUCCACACUGCCUUGAUUUUGUAAUUCAUCCCUUCAAAGAAAUGCUGUAUGCUUCUGUAUUUUUCUAAGAUUUGGGAAAAUAUAAAAUUCAAGUUGCUUAAUUGGUCCCUCUCACAGCCAUCUAUCUCAAAUGCAUAUAUUUCUUU
RNAcentral lists this small RNA (577 nucleotides) under Pongo abelii (Sumatran orangutan). Its description in RNAcentral is "retained intron". Lineage: Eukaryota; Metazoa; Chordata; Mammalia; Primates; Hominidae. The record is from RNAcentral.